GCAGUAGUAGCGACGACGGCCAGUGAGCAGCAACCUAAGGUGCCGGCGUUAAGCGCGGAUGGCCAGAUCUGUGCGCGGAGGGCAUGGCCGAUGCUGGGAGGGAGGUCUUGCCGCCGCCCUCCAAGCAGUCGGUAGGCGCAAUGGAUCCUAAAGCUCCUGAAUGGAUCAAAAGGGGUGAGGAUUGGGGUGGAAGCCCCUGUUAGGACACCUUCUCCCAGUCAAGCAUGAGCCGGUGGCGGUGACGCUGCAUAUGUUAUCCAGGAUCCUGCUCAGGGGUUGUACCAUUGGCGACGAGAUCCAGAAGAUGGCCACGGCGGCAGUGGUGGCGGCGGUUGCCCCGGGUGGUGAUGUAGAGGGGAGGAACCAGUAGCAGGUGAGCACGAAGAUCUCUGAAAGUUUUUCUUCGGAAUAUAAUAACCAGGUUGCGUUUGUUUCGUGCACAUACAUAAAUGGAUCGCUCUUCUUCUUGGAGCCCCAGGUUGUGGCAAAACCCCCUAUUGCUAGCACUUGCAGGAAAGCUCAACCAAAACCAAGAGAUCAUGGAUGUUGUGGUGGCAGCGGCUACUCCUGGUGCGUGCUGAUCAGGACACAGCCCAACAUGGACGUGUAAAACACAUGCAAUCAGAUUAUCUCCAGGAAUUUGCAGCAGGUCUGAUCCCUUGCGCGUGCUCCUCCGCUUCUCCUCACCCUCUCGACCCUCCCCUUGCUCAUCGCCAUCCAUUUUAUUCCGAGUGUAGAUGGCGGGCAAAACACCUAAGCUCCAGAGCAAGGAUGAAAAGCACUCCAUACAUACCCACAAGGAUGAUGAUCCAUCUUUUUCUAGGAUGGUGGGACUUGAGGUAUGCACAGAAUCAAGGAUCAGCUACUUGAUGAAAUAUACAGGAGACUCUCCUACUCAACAUUACGUUAAAAAAAGAAUCAAGGAUCAGUUCAAUGGGAAUUGGAAUGAUGAAAACACUUGUUUGAGCACAUGUGAUCCUCAUAAUAACAUAUUUGUAAUAAA
Molecule: long non-coding RNA, 1003 nt
Organism: Triticum aestivum (bread wheat)
Lineage: Eukaryota; Viridiplantae; Streptophyta; Magnoliopsida; Poales; Poaceae
Exons: 7
Source: RefSeq, a predicted model, not a curated record